UACGAAGGGGGCUAGCGUUGCUCGGAAUCACUGGGCGUAAAGGGUGCGUAGGCGGGUCUUUAAGUCAGGGGUGAAAUCCUGGAGCUCAACUCCAGAACUGCCUUUGAUACUGAAGAUCUUGAGUUCGGGAGAGGUGAGUGGAACUGCGAGUGUAGAGGUGAAAUUCGUAGAUAUUCGCAAGAACACCAGUGGCGAAGGCGGCUCACUGGCCCGAUACUGACGCUGAGGCGCGAAAGCUAGGGGAGCGAACGGG
Molecule: ribosomal RNA, 253 nt
Filed under: uncultured bacterium
Lineage: Bacteria
Description: partial 16S ribosomal RNA
Rfam family: Bacterial small subunit ribosomal RNA
Source: RNAcentral